CAGCAGCCGCGGGAAAACGUCGGGUGCGAGCGUUAAUCGGAAUUACUGGGCGUAAAGCGUGCGCAGGCGGUUGUGUAAGACAGGUGUGAAAUCCCCGGGCUUAACCUGGGAACUGCGCUUGUGACUGCACAGCUAGAGUAUGGCAGAGGGGGGUGGAAUUCCACGUGUAGCAGUGAAAUGCGUAGAGAUGUGGAGGAACACCGAUGGCGAAGGCAGCCCCCUGGGCCAAUACUGACGCUCAUGCACGAAAGCGUGGGGAGCAAACAGGAUUAGAUACCCCGGUAGUCCCUGUCUCUUAUAA
RNAcentral lists this ribosomal RNA (301 nucleotides) under uncultured bacterium. Its description in RNAcentral is "partial 16S ribosomal RNA". It matches the Rfam family "Bacterial small subunit ribosomal RNA", at positions 509 to 809 of the family's 1533-position model. The record is from RNAcentral.